CAUAGGGGGUAUAAGUGUAAAUAGCCUUAACAGAAAGAUGACUCGUCAUACCAUCUUGCGGCUGCAUCCGUUCCCUCCACAAAUCUAUAUAAUCCAAAAAGAUAACAUACCAUGGGUAGCCAAUACACAAAGCUUCCUCAUGACGUAGUUCCUUUCUGUGUCGUCCUCCAUGGCUUCCUUACCUUCCGUUGCUGUCAGUGGAACUCUCCGGCUUGAACCAGACAUCAAAAUACACCCGAACACAUCUGUUGCCGCUGAUAAGAGCACGAGCAUUACUUAUCAGAAAGGGCAAAGGAUCUCUCACAAUGGAAUUGCAGAGCCAAUUGGGAAGCUAGAUUCUCGAGAAGCUCUCUCUAUGAUAAAAGAAAGCACAAAUGUUGAGCAAUCUUUCUAUAUGCCCCUCUUGCAAGGAUGCAUUGAGAAGAAUUCAGUUGCGGAAACCCAAAUCAUUCAUGCCCACAUCAUAAAAACUGAAACUUACAAAGAUUAUUAUGUGAUGACAUUCCUGGUUAAUGUUUAUGCAAAAUGUAGAGCCAUGGAGGAUGCUCGGAGAGUUUUUGAUGCAUUGACUUUGAAGAAUGUUGUUGCUUGGACGUCCUUGAUGACGGGUUACGUUCAAAAUUCACUGCCAGAAAUUGCCAUUCAAGUUUUCAAUGAAAUGUUGGAAGCCGGGGCUUAUCCUACCAAUUAUACUUUUGCAGUUGUCUUAAAUGCUUCUUCUUCACUGCAAUCUAUCAGAUUGGGGAAACAAUUUCAUGCUAACAUUAUCAAGUACCAGCUUGAUAAUGACACAAGUGUUGGGAAUUCCCUUAGCAGCUUUUACUCAAAAUGUAAAAGUUUAAAAUCCGCCGUAGAAGCCUUCAAGAGGAUUAAAGAGAAGAAUGUGAUUUCUUGGAGUACGGUAAUAUCUGCUUGUGGUGAAAAUGGUGAUGAAGCAAUGGGUUUUAGAUUUUUCACUGAGAUGCUUUGUGAGGAUAUUGAGCCUAAUGAGUUCUCCUUGACCAGUGUUUUGAGCUUGUGCGCUGUGAUGCUUUCCUUGGACGUAGGGGCACAAAUCCAUUCAUUGAGUAUCAAACUUGGCUAUGAAUCAAACCUUCGAGUCACUAACUCUGUACUGUAUUUGUACCUCAAAUGUGGGUGUAUUACUGAGGCAAGGAGAUUGUUUGACAGGAUGGAUUCUAUGAGCUUGGUCACCUGGAAUACGAUGAUUGCAGGCUAUGCUCAGACGAUGGAUCUUGCCAACGAUAAUCUUUUAGCACACUGUAGAGGAAAAGAGGCACUCAACACUUUCUUGAAAUUGAAUCGCUCUGGCAGGAAACCGGACCUAUUUACCUUCUCAAGUAUUUUAACUGUGUGUAGCAGGUUGGUGGCCUUAGAACAGGGGGAACAAAUUCAUGCUCAGACCAUCAAAACUGGAUUCUUGUCAGAUGUUGUGGUGGGAACUUCACUGAUUAACAUGUAUAGCAGAUGUGGAAGCAUUGACAAAGCAAGCAAGGCGUUUGUUGAAAUGUCUAUAAGGACUUUGAUUUCUUGGACAAGUAUGAUUACAAGUUAUGCACAGCACGGCCGGUCUCAGCAGGUGCUGCAGCUCUUUGAAGACAUGAGACUAUCAGGAGUGAGGCCAAACCAGAUUACCUUUGUGGGUGUUCUAGCAGCUUGUAGCCAUGCUGGGAUGGUUGAUGAAGGACUCAACUAUUUCAAACUGAUGCAAAAGGAAUACAAAAUUACGCCUGUGAUGGAUCAUUACGCUUGUCUGAUUGAUAUGUUUGUGCGAUCAGGACGGAUAGAAGAAGCUUUUGAUUUUGUUAAGCAGAUGAAUUUUGAACCAAAUGAGUUCAUAUGGUCUCUCUUGAUUACAGGAUGCAAAACUCAUGGGAACAAAGAACUGGGUUUUUUUGCAGCUGAACAGUUGCUCAAACUCAAGCCAAAAGAUACUGAAACUUACGCGGUAUUGCUAAAUAUGUACAUUUCUGCAGAGAGGUGGCAGGAUGUUUCCAGGGUGAGAAAACUAAUGAAAGAGGAGAAAGUCGGAAAAUUAAACGAUUGGAGCUGGAUUAGCAUCAAGGACAAGGUUUAUUCAUUCAAAACCAGUGACAAUUCGCAUCCGCGACAAGCUGAGAUGAACAAAUUGUUGGAUGAAUUGCUUGAAAAAGCAAAGAGAUUUGGAUAUGAAUCACCAGAGAGUUUUGAGGAGACCGAUGAAGAGGACGAAGGGAAGACAUCCGCUUCUACGGUUUACCACAGUGAAAAGUUGGCUAUUGCAUUUGGCUUGCUGAGUACAUCAUAUGCUGCCCCAAUACGGGUCGUCAAGAGUGUAACUAUGUGCAGGGAUUGCCACGAUUUCAUUGAGGUAGUCUCAUUACUAACAUCAAGGGAAAUAAUUGUUCGAGAUAAAAAGCGGCUUCAUAGAUUUGUUGAUGGACAUUGCUCUUGUGGAGAUGUUGGCACCCUUCUAUGAUGAGCUUUGUUCACUCAGUUACUUGCGAUUUUCUCUGUUCUAGGAAUCAUUCAACCUUCAAAUUUUAUGUGUCAUGUGUAUUUGAACCACUUGGAGAUAGUCUAGAAGGUGGUUCUCUCCGGACUUAAAGCCUACGGUGCUUGAGAUCGAGAGUUCGAACCAACCAGUUGACAUAUUUCUUUGUGGAACCAGGUUCCAUGGACAUGUCCUACUUCCUGACCCCAACCCGCAUGGGCUUCGGCCCAAUCUUAACAGGUUAAUCUGACGGCCCGAGAAUUACACCCACUCAGUUGUCUAAAUGACAUGUUGGAAACUUGGGCUGAGUGAUUCUUCGGUUAAAAAAAGGAGAAGAAAAAAGUCUUGUUCGGUGUUUGUAACUUUACAUUGUCACAUUUAACAGCAAAAAUUAUCAUUCUCAGUUGGACAACAA
This is an RNA transcript of Tripterygium wilfordii, 2888 nucleotides long. It is a transcript of the gene named putative pentatricopeptide repeat-containing protein At5g52630, with no coding region annotated. NCBI's taxonomy places the organism in Eukaryota, Viridiplantae, Streptophyta, Magnoliopsida, Celastrales, Celastraceae. The transcript has 3 exons. The record is from RefSeq and is a predicted model, not a curated record.